GUAACACGUAGUCAACCUGCCCUGGAGACAUGGACAACCCCGGGAAACUGGGAUUAAUCCGUGAUAGGUCAUCUCAUCUGGAAGGAGAGAUGGCUUAAAGGGGUACGCGGGCUUCUUCUGCGUAUUCGCUCCAGGAUGGGACUGCGUCCGAUCAGGCUGUUGGCGGGGUAAUGGCCCACCAAACCUGUAACCGGUACGGGCCUUGAGAGAGGUGGCCCGGAGAUGAACACUGAGAGAAGGGUCCAGGUCCUACGGGGCGCAGCAGGCGCGAAACCUUCGCAAUGCGCGAAAGCGUGACGAGGUUAAUCCGAGUGGCCCCCGCUGAGGGGGUCUUUUGUCAGCUGUAAAUAGGCGGGCGAAUAAGGGGAGGGCAAGCCUGGUGUCAGCCGCCGCGGUAAUACCAGCUCCUCGAGUGGUCGGGGCGAUUAUUGGGCCUAAAGCAUCCGUAGCCGGUUCCGUAGGUCCUCUGUUAAAUCCACCCGCUUAACGGGUGACCUGCAGAGGAUACCGCGGGACU
RNAcentral lists this ribosomal RNA (517 nucleotides) under uncultured archaeon. RNAcentral's name for it is "bacterial SSU rRNA". It matches the Rfam family "Archaeal small subunit ribosomal RNA", at positions 93 to 593 of the family's 1478-position model. The record is from RNAcentral.